Molecule: ribosomal RNA, 254 nt
Filed under: uncultured bacterium
Lineage: Bacteria
Description: partial 16S ribosomal RNA
Rfam family: Bacterial small subunit ribosomal RNA
Source: RNAcentral
UACGUAGGGUGCGAGCGUUAAUCGGAAUUACUGGGCGUAAAGCGUGCGCAGGCGGUCUGUGAAGACCGAUGUGAAAUCCCCGGGCUUAACCUGGGAACUGCAUUGGUGACUGGCAGGCUUUGAGUGUGGCAGAGGGAGGUAGAAUUCCACGUGUAGCAGUGAAAUGCGUAGAUAUGUGGAGGAACACCGAUGGCGAAGGCAGCCCCCUGGGUCAAGACUGACGCUCAUGCACGAAAGCGUGGGGAGCAAACAGG